GAUGAACGCUGGCGGCGUGCCUAAUACAUGCAAGUCGAGCGAACGGACGAGAAGCUUGCUUUUCUGAUGUUAGCGGCGGACGGGUGAGUAACACGUGGAUAACCUACCUAUAAGACUGGGAUAACUUCGGGAAACCGGAGCUAAUACCGGAUAAUAUUUUGAACCGCAUGGUUCAAAAGUGAAAGACGGUCUUGCUGUCACUUAUAGAUGGAUCCGCGCUGCAUUAGCUAGUUGGUAAGGUAACAGCUUACCAAGGCAACGAUGCAUAGCCGACCUGAGAGGGUGAUCGGCCACACUGGAACUGAGACACGGUCCAGACUCCUACGGGAGGCAGCAGUAGGGAAUCUUCCGCAAUGGGCGAAAGCCUGACGGAGCAACGCCGCGUGAGUGAUGAAGGUCUUCGGAUCGUAAAACUCUGUUAUUAGGGAAGAACAUAUGUGUAAGUAACUGUGCACAUCUUGACGGUACCUAAUCAGAAAGCCACGGCUAACUACGUG
Molecule: ribosomal RNA, 497 nt
Filed under: uncultured bacterium
Lineage: Bacteria
Description: partial 16S ribosomal RNA
Rfam family: Bacterial small subunit ribosomal RNA
Source: RNAcentral